This 379-nucleotide ribosomal RNA is filed under the name uncultured Anoxybacillus sp. RNAcentral describes it as "bacterial SSU rRNA". It matches the Rfam family "Bacterial small subunit ribosomal RNA", at positions 1005 to 1382 of the family's 1533-position model. The record is from RNAcentral. Lineage: Bacteria; Bacillati; Bacillota; Bacilli; Caryophanales; Anoxybacillaceae.
GAUCGGGCGUUCCCCUUCGGGGGGACAGGGUGACAGGUGGUGCAUGGUUGUCGUCAGCUCGUGUCGUGAGAUGUUGGGUUAAGUCCCGCAACGAGCGCAACCCUCGACCUUAGUUGCCAGCAUUCAGUUGGGCACUCUAAGGUGACUGCCGGCUAAAAGUCGGAGGAAGGUGGGGAUGACGUCAAAUCAUCAUGCCCCUUAUGACCUGGGCUACACACGUGCUACAAUGGGCGGUACAAAGGGUCGCGAACCCGCGAGGGGGAGCCAAUCCCAAAAAGCCGCUCUCAGUUCGGAUUGCAGGCUGCAACUCGCCUGCAUGAAGCCGGAAUCGCUAGUAAUCGCGGAUCAGCAUGCCGCGGUGAAUACGUUCCCGGGCCUU